This 72-nucleotide transfer RNA is filed under the name Patescibacteria group bacterium. Its description in RNAcentral is "tRNA-Arg". It matches the Rfam family "tRNA". From Rfam's summary of the family: Transfer RNA (tRNA) molecules are approximately 80 nucleotides in length. Their secondary structure includes four short double-helical elements and three loops (D, anti-codon, and T loops). The record is from RNAcentral.
GCUUUCGUCGUUCAACGGAUAGGACACAAGAUUGCGGAUCUUGUAAUCCAGGUUCGAUUCCUGGCGAAAGCA